AGAGUUUGAUCAUGGCUCAGGACGAACGCUGGCGGCGCGCUUAACACAUGCAAGUCGAGCGAGAACCAGGCCUUCGGGCCUGGGGAAAGCGGCGAACGGGUGAGUAACACGUGGGUAACCCACCCUUGGUACCGGGAUAGCCCGAGGAAACUCGGAUUAAUACCGGAUGGCCCAACAGCUUCUCGGAGCGGUUGGAAAAGGUAGCUUCGGCCUCCGACCAAGGACGGGCCCGCGGCGGAUUAGCUUGUUGGUGAGGUAACGGCUCACCAAGGCUUCGAUCCGUAGCUGGUCUGAGAGGACGAUCAGCCACACUGGGACUGAGACACGGCCCAGACUCCUACGGGAGGCAGCAGUGGGGAAUCUUGCGCAAUGGGCGAAAGCCUGACGCAGCGACGCCGCGUGGGGGAAGAAGGCUUUCGGGUUGUAAACCCCUUUCAGGAAGGACGAAGCCACUCGGGUUAAUAGCCCAGAGGGUGACGGUACUUCCAGAAGAAGCCCCGGCUAACUACGUGCCAGCAGCCGCGGUAAUACGUAGGGGGCAAGCGUUGUCCGGAUUUAUUGGGCGUAAAGAGCGUGUAGGCGGUCAGGUAGGUCCGUUGUGAAAACUCGAGGCUCAACCUCGAGACGCCGAUGGAAACCAUCUGACUAGAGUCCGGAAGAGGAGAGUGGAAUUCCUGGUGUAGCGGUGAAAUGCGCAGAUAUCAGGAAGAACACCCGUGGCUAAGGCGGCUCUCUAGUACGGUACUGACGCUGAGACGCGAAAGCGUGGGGAGCGAACAGGAUUAGAUACCCUAGUAGUCC
RNAcentral lists this ribosomal RNA (801 nucleotides) under uncultured bacterium. RNAcentral describes it as "bacterial SSU rRNA". It matches the Rfam family "Bacterial small subunit ribosomal RNA", at positions 8 to 796 of the family's 1533-position model. The record is from RNAcentral.